Long non-coding RNA from Prunus persica (peach), 363 nucleotides. RefSeq lists it as uncharacterized. Lineage: Eukaryota; Viridiplantae; Streptophyta; Magnoliopsida; Rosales; Rosaceae. The transcript is spliced from 3 exons. The record is from RefSeq and is a predicted model, not a curated record.
UCGAAACAUUUCAUUCUCCGACAGUCUUUUUCUCUCUUACAUCUCCUCUUACAUUACUGAAACUUUUCCAUUUCCAGCAAUCAUUUUUUUUUUUUGGUUCAAAUUCUGAUCUCAUAAAAGAACACCAUGAUGAAAGAUUAUGAUCUUGAACCUAAGCAGUGGUCCGCGUGUCUUUUAACUGUGGAGGAGAUAUCUGCACAUGUUGCAUCGCAUGUUUUCUCCCAUGCAUCACCUUCGGCCAAAUUGCAGAAGUUGUCGACGAAGGACAAAAAUCUUGCCUUUGCCAUUGCAUACUGUACGUGUUGUUCUCGACGUAUCAUUUGCAGAGGACCUACUCAAGCAAGUAUAGAGGGAUAAUGCGCA